UGUGCGAUGUUUGCAUAUGGCGCGUAAAAAUGCACAGUGAGAUUUUUUUUCAGGCACAAAAGAGACGCGCGGUUCUUCGCGGCACACUUCACAGUGAUGCGAAGUAGAAAAUGACCAACUGUGAGAGGACGAGAAAAAAGACGAGCUCGGUGUCCGUUACGACGUUCGGAAUUGAUACGGACACGUGGAGUUUAUCGUGAUUCUUUAUACGAUAACGUAUUCGCGCGUAUACUUUAUCUGUACGUCUGCGACAUCAGCAUCGUUGCAGAAUUAACGUGUUUCGAGAACGGACGAAUACCGUGGGGCAGUCUCUCUCAGAAAUAUGGCACGCAGUAUUUGAAUCUUGCGAGGUAACAUUCCCGCAAUGUUCCGGCAAUAUUUCGUGGAAAUAUCAAUAGAACCACAUCGGUGAAUGGUGUAUCUUCUUCCGAGUUGUCAGAAAUCGCAGUCAUCAUCAUCAUUGUCAUUAUCGUUAUCGACUGCUCUUCCGCAGGGCGGUAAGAAGUAUGCACGCUCCUGCGAACGUUCGCUGUUUGUUGUG
This is a long non-coding RNA of Pseudomyrmex gracilis, 541 nucleotides long. RefSeq lists it as uncharacterized. NCBI's taxonomy places the organism in Eukaryota, Metazoa, Arthropoda, Insecta, Hymenoptera, Formicidae. The transcript has 3 exons. The record is from RefSeq and is a predicted model, not a curated record.